This 379-nucleotide unclassified non-coding RNA is filed under the name plant metagenome. RNAcentral's name for it is "partial contains 5.8S ribosomal RNA, internal transcribed spacer 2, and large subunit ribosomal RNA". The stretch from base 1 to 106 matches the Rfam family "5.8S ribosomal RNA", at positions 49 to 154 of the family's 154-position model. The record is from RNAcentral.
CGAAAUGCGAUAAGUAAUGUGAAUUGCAGAAUUCAGUGAUUCAUCGAAUCUUUGAACGCACCUUGCGCUCCUUGGUAUUCCUUGGAGCAUGCCUGUUUGAGUAUCAUGAAAUCUUCAAAGUAAAUCUUUUGUUAACUCAAUUGGUUUCUACUUUGGUAUUGGAGGUCUUUGCAGCUUCACACCUGCUCCUCUUUGUUCAUUAGCUGGAUCUCAGUGUUAUGCUUGGUUCCACUCGGCGUGAUAAGUUAUCUAUCGCUGAGGACACUGUAAAAGGUGGCCAAGGUAAAUGCAGAUGAACCGCUUCUAAUAGUCCAUUGACUUGGACAAUACUUUUAUGAUCUGAUCUCAAAUCAGGUAGGACUACCCGCUGAACUUAAGC